This is a long non-coding RNA of Impatiens glandulifera, 577 nucleotides long. RefSeq lists it as uncharacterized. The record is from RefSeq and is a predicted model, not a curated record. Lineage: Eukaryota; Viridiplantae; Streptophyta; Magnoliopsida; Ericales; Balsaminaceae. The transcript is spliced from 6 exons.
AAACCCGAUAGAGAAGGAAUGGCAAUGGAUAUCUCUCUGACAAGCUUUGUCCUACCUAAACGUGCUUGCUUCCAUUUUCACGUCAAGGAACGGCCGGAUAUUUUCAAUCAGAUGCUCUUCUUCUCCUUCUCUCCCCAUGGACGGUUCAUCUGUUGGGUUGGCUGAAAAGCCAUGGAAGACAGCUGAUGCGAGGCUUGUUCUUGAAGAUGGUAAAGGAACCCAAGUUGGUGAAGUAGUAUUCAAUACUUCCUUAACAGGAUAAUGAAGAGUCGAGCAAGUGCUUCCUUGGAGGAGGCUUAGUAAUAAGAAGUUGUUUAAGUAUCAGUACUUCAAACUGGAGAUGUAUGAAACCCCAACCUCUAGGUGAUUACUUGGCCGCGAGGAACAUUAUGGGAAGAAUUCACGACGUUGAUACACCACGUGCCAUAACAAGUAGACUGAGACAAGAUGGAAGUCUUAUAGGCGUGUUAAGCACUGAAAAUGAUAAAUCAGACUAGCAACUUUUGGAGAUGUCUCAGAAUUGGAAUAUAGUAGGGACCUCAAUGAUAGGAAAAAUACUUAUGGAUAUGAAAGGAUA